This 465-nucleotide ribosomal RNA is filed under the name Vreelandella stevensii. RNAcentral's name for it is "partial 16S ribosomal RNA". It matches the Rfam family "Bacterial small subunit ribosomal RNA", at positions 338 to 795 of the family's 1533-position model. The record is from RNAcentral. Lineage: Bacteria; Pseudomonadati; Pseudomonadota; Gammaproteobacteria; Oceanospirillales; Halomonadaceae.
CCUACGGGCGGCUGCAGUGGGGGAUAUUGGACAAUGGGGGGAACCCUGAUCCAGCCAUGCCGCGUGUGUGAAGAAGGCCCUCGGGUUGUAAAGCACUUUCAGUGAGGAAGAACGCCUGGUGGUUAAUACCCAUCAGGAAAGACAUCACUCACAGAAGAAGCACCGGCUAACUCCGUGCCAGCAGCCGCGGUAAUACGGAGGGUGCGAGCGUUAAUCGGAAUUACUGGGCGUAAAGCGCGCGUAGGUGGCUUGAUAAGCCGGUUGUGAAAGCCCCGGGCUCAACCUGGGAACGGCAUCCGGAACUGUCAAGCUAGAGUGCAGGAGAGGAAGGUAGAAUUCCCGGUGUAGCGGUGAAAUGCGUAGAGAUCGGGAGGAAUACCAGUGGCGAAGGCGGCCUUCUGGACUGACACUGACACUGAGGUGCGAAAGCGUGGGUAGCAAACAGGAUUAGAUACCCCUGUAGUC